RNAcentral lists this ribosomal RNA (535 nucleotides) under Candidatus Poribacteria bacterium. Its description in RNAcentral is "bacterial LSU rRNA". It matches the Rfam family "Bacterial large subunit ribosomal RNA", at positions 2392 to 2925 of the family's 2925-position model. Lineage: Bacteria; Candidatus Poribacteria. The record is from RNAcentral.
AGCAGGAGCGAAAGCUGGUCUUAGUGAUCCGGUGGUUCUGUAUGGAAGGGCCAUCGCUCAACGGAUAAAAGGUACUCCGGGGAUAACAGGCUUCUCUCCCCCAAGAGUUCACAUCGACGGGGAGGUUUGGCACCUCGAUGUCGGCUCAUCACAUCCUGGGGCUGCAGCAGGUCCCAAGGGUUGGGCUGUUCGCCCAUUAAAGUGGUACGUGAGCUGGGUUUAGAACGUCGUAAGACAGUUCGGUCCCUAUCUUUUACGGGCGUAGGAAAUUUGAGUGGAGCUGCCGCUAGUAUGAGAAGACCGUGGUGGACGAACCUCUGGUGCACCAGUUGUCACGCCUGUGGCAUCGCUGGGUAGCUAUGUUCGGAAGGGAUAAAUGCUGAAAGCAUCUAAGCAUGAAGCCUUCCUCAAGAUAAGAUUUCCCACAGAGUUAAUCUGGUAAGACCCCUUGUAGAUAACGAGGUUGAUAGGCCAAGUGUGUAAGCGCGGUGACGUGUUUAGCUAAUUGGUACUAAUAGGUCGAGGGCUUAACUUA